Molecule: ribosomal RNA, 254 nt
Filed under: uncultured bacterium
Lineage: Bacteria
Description: partial 16S ribosomal RNA
Rfam family: Bacterial small subunit ribosomal RNA
Source: RNAcentral
UACGUAGGGUGCGAGCGUUGUCCGGAAUUAUUGGGCGUAAAGAGCUCGUAGGCGGUCUGUCGCGUCGAUCGUGAAAACUUGGGGCUUAACCCUGAGCUUGCGGUCGAUACGGGCAUGACUGGAGUUCGGCAGGGGAGACUGGAAUUCCUGGUGUAGCGGUGAGAUGCGCAGAUAUCAGGAGGAACACCGGUGGCGAAGGCGGGUCUCUGGGCCGAUACUGACGCUGAGGAGCGAAAGCGUGGGUAGCGAACAGG